This 508-nucleotide ribosomal RNA is filed under the name uncultured bacterium. RNAcentral describes it as "bacterial SSU rRNA". It matches the Rfam family "Bacterial small subunit ribosomal RNA", at positions 19 to 518 of the family's 1533-position model. The record is from RNAcentral.
CUGGCUCAGGAUGAACGCUAGCUACAGGCUUAACACAUGCAAGUCGAGGGGCAGCAUGGGAUUAGCUUGCUAAUCCUGAUGGCGACCGGCGCACGGGUGAGUAACGCGUAUCCAACCUUCCCCCUGCUCAGGGAUAGCCCGGUGAAAACCGGAUUAAGACCUGAUAGUUUCACUAGAUGGCAUCUGACGGUGAAUAAAGGUUUCGGCAAGGGAUGGGGAUGCGUCUGAUUAGCUUGUUGGCGGGGUAACGGCCCACCAAGGCGACGAUCAGUAGGGUUCUGAGAGGAAGGUCCCCCACAUUGGAACUGAGACACGGUCCAAACUCCUACGGGAGGCAGCAGUGAGGAAUAUUGGUCAAUGGGCGGAAGCCUGAACCAGCCAAGUAGCGUGCCAGGAUGACGGCCCUAUGGGUUGUAAACUGCUUUUGUGCGGGAAUAAAGUCAGGGACGUGUCCCUGUUUGCAUGUACCGCAAGAAUAAGGACCGGCUAAUUCCGUGCCAGCAGCCGC